This 348-nucleotide ribosomal RNA is filed under the name uncultured Anoxybacillus sp. RNAcentral describes it as "bacterial SSU rRNA". It matches the Rfam family "Bacterial small subunit ribosomal RNA", at positions 1035 to 1382 of the family's 1533-position model. The record is from RNAcentral. Lineage: Bacteria; Bacillati; Bacillota; Bacilli; Caryophanales; Anoxybacillaceae.
GAGGUGGUGCAUGGUUGUCGUCAGCUCGUGUCGUGAGAUGUUGGGUUAAGUCCCGCAACGAGCGCAACCCUCGACCUUAGUUGCCAGCAUUCAGUUGGGCACUCUAAGGUGACUGCCGGCUAAAAGUCGGAGGAAGGUGGGGAUGACGUCAAAUCAUCAUGCCCCUUAUGACCUGGGCUACACACGUGCUACAAUGGGCGGUACAAAGGGUCGCGAACCCGCGAGGGGGAGCCAAUCCCAAAAAGCCGCUCUCAGUUCGGAUUGCAGGCUGCAACUCGCCUGCAUGAAGCCGGAAUCGCUAGUAAUCGCGGAUCAGCAUGCCCGCGGUCCGAAUACGUUCCGGGCCUU